This 212-nucleotide long non-coding RNA is filed under the name Populus trichocarpa (black cottonwood). Its description in RNAcentral is "long non-coding RNA (PTRI_LNC003374)". Lineage: Eukaryota; Viridiplantae; Streptophyta; Magnoliopsida; Malpighiales; Salicaceae. The record is from RNAcentral.
AGGAAUCAUGCACGGUGUAGACUAUAUGUCUGCAAAUUGCUUUUUCACGGGGCAACAUAUAAGUGAGUGGAUCUACAGAAAUACAAUGUUUUGGAGUUGAGUACCAGGGCUCACAGGUUUGCUUCCUCCAAAAUUUUAAGUUCAAAUCCUACUAGCGUUAAGGGUAUCUUUGUUUUUGUAGUUGAGGUUGAAGCAUGUUUCAUGGAGCCCAU